GUUUUGGUGGUGUAGUGGCCAGCACACUCGACGCAUAUUCAAGAGGUCCGUGGUUCGAGUCCCGGCGAGGGCA
Molecule: transfer RNA, 73 nt
Filed under: Stegodyphus mimosarum
Lineage: Eukaryota; Metazoa; Arthropoda; Arachnida; Araneae; Eresidae
Rfam family: tRNA
About the family: Transfer RNA (tRNA) molecules are approximately 80 nucleotides in length. Their secondary structure includes four short double-helical elements and three loops (D, anti-codon, and T loops). Further hydrogen bonds mediate the characteristic L-shaped molecular structure. tRNAs have two regions of fundamental functional importance: the anti-codon, which is responsible for specific mRNA codon recognition, and the 3' end, to which the tRNAs corresponding amino acid is attached (by aminoacyl-tRNA synthetases). tRNAs cope with the degeneracy of the genetic code in two manners: having more than one tRNA (with a specific anti-codon) for a particular amino acid; and 'wobble' base-pairing, i.e. permitting non-standard base-pairing at the 3rd anti-codon position.
Source: Rfam by way of RNAcentral